This 253-nucleotide ribosomal RNA is filed under the name uncultured bacterium. RNAcentral's name for it is "partial 16S ribosomal RNA". It matches the Rfam family "Bacterial small subunit ribosomal RNA", at positions 524 to 776 of the family's 1533-position model. The record is from RNAcentral.
UACGUAGGGGGCUAGCGUUGUCCGGAUUUAUUGGGCGUAAAGAGCGUGUAGGCGGCCAGAUAGGUCCGUUGUGAAAACUGGAGGCUUAACCUCCAGCUGUCGAUGGAAACCAUCUGGCUAGAGUCCGGAAGAGGAGAGUGGAAUUCCUGGUGUAGCGGUGAAAUGCGCAGAUAUCAGGAGGAACACCGGUGGCGAAGGCGGGUCUCUGGGCCGAUACUGACGCUGAGGAGCGAAAGCGUGGGGAGCGAACAGG